This 256-nucleotide ribosomal RNA is filed under the name uncultured bacterium. RNAcentral describes it as "partial 16S ribosomal RNA". It matches the Rfam family "Bacterial small subunit ribosomal RNA", at positions 793 to 1055 of the family's 1533-position model. The record is from RNAcentral.
GUCCACGCCGUAAACGAUGGAUACUAGCUGUUGGGGUUUACCUCAGUGGCUAAGCGAAAGUGAUAAGUAUCCCACCUGGGGAGUACGUUCGCAAGAAUGAAACUCAAAGGAAUUGACGGGGGCCCCGCACAAGCGGUGGAGCAUGUGGUUUAAUUCGAUGAUACGCGAGGAACCUUACCAAGGCUUAAAUGUAGAUUGACAGGACUGGAAACAGUUUUUUCUUCGGACAAUUUACAAGGUGCUGCAUGGUUGUCGU